GACGAACGCUGGCUGCGUGCUUAACACAUGCAAGUCGAACGCUGAAGCUCACAGCUUGCUGUGGGUGGAUGAGUGGCGAACGGGUGAGUAACACGUGAGUAACCUGCCCCCGAUUUCGGGAUAAGCCCGGGAAACUGGGUCUAAUACCGGAUAUGACCACCGGCCGCAGGGUUGGUGGUGGAAAGUUUUUCGAUCGGGGAUGGGCUCGCGGCCUAUCAGCUUGUUGGUGGGGUAAUGGCCUACCAAGGCGACGACGGGUAGCCGGCCUGAGAGGGCGACCGGCCACACUGGGACUGAGACACGGCCCAGACUCCUACGGGAGGCAGCAGUGGGGAAUAUUGCACAAUGGGGGAAACCCUGAUGCAGCGACGCAGCGUGCGGGAUGACGGCCUUCGGGUUGUAAACCGCUUUCAGCAGGGAAGAAGCGUAAGUGACGGUACCUGCAGAAGAAGUACCGGCUAACUACGUGCCAGCCGCCGCCGUAA
Molecule: ribosomal RNA, 485 nt
Filed under: uncultured bacterium
Lineage: Bacteria
Description: partial 16S ribosomal RNA
Rfam family: Bacterial small subunit ribosomal RNA
Source: RNAcentral